AGAACGAACGCUGGCGGCAUGCCUAACACAUGCAAGUCGAACGAGACCUUCGGGUCUAGUGGCGCACGGGUGCGUAACGCGUGGGAAUCUGCCCUUAGGUACGGAAUAACAGUGAGAAAUUACUGCUAAUACCGUAUGAUGUCUUCGGACCAAAGAUUUAUCGCCUAGGGAUGAGCCCGCGUAGGAUUAGCUAGUUGGUGGGGUAAAGGCCUACCAAGGCGACGAUCCUUAGCUGGUCUGAGAGGAUGAUCAGCCACACUGGGACUGAGACACGGCCCAGACUCCUACGGGAGGCAGCAGUGGGGAAUAUUGGACAAUGGGCGAAAGCCUGAUCCAGCAAUGCCGCGUGAGUGAAGAAGGCCUUCGGGUUGUAAAGCUCUUUUGCCCGGGAAGAUAAUGACUGUACCGGGAGAAUAAGCCCGGCUAACUCCGUGCCAGCAGCCGC
RNAcentral lists this ribosomal RNA (445 nucleotides) under uncultured bacterium. RNAcentral's name for it is "SSU rRNA". It matches the Rfam family "Bacterial small subunit ribosomal RNA", at positions 26 to 518 of the family's 1533-position model. The record is from RNAcentral.